UACGUAGGGGGCAAGCGUUGUCCGGAAUCAUUGGGCGUAAAGAGCGUGUAGGCGGCCCGGUAAGUCCGCCGUGAAAGUCCAGGGCUCAACCCUGGGAUGCCGGUGGAAACUGUCGGGCUCGAGUCCGGAAGAGGCGAGUGGAAUUCCUGGUGUAGCGGUGAAAUGCGCAGAUAUCAGGAGGAACACCAAUAGCGAAGGCAGCUCGCUGGGACGUGACUGACACUAAGGCGCGAAAGCCAGGGGAGCGAACGGG
Molecule: ribosomal RNA, 253 nt
Filed under: uncultured bacterium
Lineage: Bacteria
Description: partial 16S ribosomal RNA
Rfam family: Bacterial small subunit ribosomal RNA
Source: RNAcentral